Molecule: ribosomal RNA, 396 nt
Filed under: uncultured bacterium
Lineage: Bacteria
Description: partial 16S ribosomal RNA
Rfam family: Bacterial small subunit ribosomal RNA
Source: RNAcentral
AUACGUAGGGCGCGAGCGUUGUCCAGAAUUACUGGGUGUAAAGGGAGCGUAGGCGGGAGGGCGAGUCAGAUGUGAAAUACCUGGGCUCAACUCAUGGGCUGCAUUUGAAACUGCAUUUCUUGAGUGUAGUAGCUGUAAGCGGAAUUCCUGGUGUAGCGGUUAAAUGCGUAGAUAUCAGGAGGAAUACCGGUGGCGAAAGCGGCUUACUGGGCUGUUACUGGCGCUGAGUCUCGAAUGAGUGGGGAGCAAACAGGAUUAGAUACCCUGGUUGUCCACGCUGUAAACGAUGAUUACUAGGUGUGGGGGAACUGACCCCUUCCGUGCCGCAGAUAACACAAUUAGUAAGCCUCCUGGGGAGUACGGCCGCAAGGUUGAAACUUAAAGGAAUUGACGGGG